This 198-nucleotide ribosomal RNA is filed under the name uncultured bacterium. RNAcentral describes it as "partial 16S ribosomal RNA". It matches the Rfam family "Bacterial small subunit ribosomal RNA", at positions 328 to 539 of the family's 1533-position model. The record is from RNAcentral.
ACGCUCGACACCUACGGGAGCAGCAGUGGGGAAUAUUGCACAAUGGGGGAAACCCUGAUGCAGCGACGCCGCGUGAGCGAAGAAGUAUUUCGGUAUGUAAAGCUCUAUCAGCAGGGAAGAAACUGACGGUACCUGACUAAGAAGCACCGGCUAAAUACGUGCUAGCAGCCGCGGUAAUCUGAGGCGGGCUGGCAAGGC